UCUGUAUUACAGCACAUCAAACACCACUGUCUGCACAGAAUGCACAAACACAGGAGAUUGGCAUUUAUUUCAGCGUGGAUUUGUGGAACUUGGGGAUACAUUCUUUGGAACAGUGUUGCUGAGAUGCUGUGAUCUGGUAGGGGCUAGGAUGUCAUAAAGCUUUAUCACUGAAGGGAUAUUGAUUUAUCCUUUGGAUUUGUGCUUAAUAUACACAUGCAGAUCCAUUUUGGAGGCUGUAAGGUAGUUUGAGCAGAGAAGGCACAAAGCCACAGUCAGGUCAAGGCAGCGCUUCAAAUCAAACCAAACUGGAUAUUCUUCCUCAAAUAUGGAAGAAGCUUGGACGAGGUGAGAAAACAGCUAGCUGGAAGGAGAACCAUUAUAGAAUAGGAUGUAUACAGUUAUUAACUUGGGGAAUAAAUCCUUCAGUAAGAGAAGGAUACGAAGUGCUGCUGCUGCUCUGGCCUGGUUCUUAAUGACCCCUUCUUCAAUUGCUGGUAAUAUUCAUGGAUCAAGACCCUUUGGAAAACCACAGGUUUUUUCAUGCAGAUAACUAAUGACUUGACCCAAACCUAAUUACAAUCAAUUACUCCAUCUGCUAUGGAGUACUACUGAUUUAAGUUAAAAUGAGUAUUGGAAAGAAGAUUUCAGACAAAAGGAUGUGAGAAAAUUUCAGCUAAGAAGAAAUUUUGGAACUCUGUGGUUCAGAAAUGUCUGCUUACCAGCACUUCAUUAUUGCUGGCAACAUUUUCACAUCUUAAGCGUGUGAACCCCUUUUUAAAUGUGUAUUCCCUGAACAGUGGAUUUUGAAAGCCUGUCAGAAAAAUCAACCCUUUUAACAGCAUUUAAAUCUGUACUCAGCCUUUAAUAUUACUGAAAUCUCUGUGGGACUUAAACUUAUCCUUAAAUGCUGCCCCUAGGAGAAAUUUUCCUGAGGAACUAAUUUUCUGAAACAUGGCCUAUAAAUGUGCCGAAAAACAGCAAAGCGUCUUUGUCUUCCCAUUUCCCGACCCUCACACCAAUUAUAAAAACAUUGAUUUUUAAAAGUUCUUCCAGUCAAGCUCUUUUCCUGUCAGAGCGUGUCACACGUGUCAGUCACAUUUCAAGCUACGGAUUUGAAAACCGACCUGCAGAAGCAGCUACCUUUGUCAUAAAUUUAACUUGACAGCUUCUCUGCAGGGUUUUCAAUUAGGAUCUUUUUUUUUAAUGAAAAAAGAAAAGAAGAAUGAAAUGUCAGCCCAAAUGCACUGAGCAAAUGCUGCUGUAUGGGAGGCCUACACAUACUGUUUUCUUCUUCAGAAUCCAGGAUGAUCAGGAACAUAGAAAUGCCAAGUUUGGGACAAAAAGAACUUUAAACCCCCUCAUUUCAGGCACAUAAAAUAGCUGGUUUUGCUGUCUGAGGGGCCAGGUGGCUCUGAGGGCCUGGUGGGCUUCGCUGAGGGCUGACAGCAGGAGGCUGAGGGGUGGAUCUGUGACACUGCCCAUAAUCCCAGGUUUUUCAUUUAAGACUUGGUACUCUCGAUGGAGGGAGUUUAAAAAAGCCCAUCAUAAUUCAGUGCUGGUUGCUAAAAGCUCGGAUUCUGAGGCGGCAGGAGCUGGUGCGCCCGGAAAAAGGUGAAACUCAGGCUGGGUAAAAAGGUGCCUUUGCCUCACGGUGUCCAUUUGAUAAUUGUAUCAGCUUCUGGGAGCUGCAGGCCCUGGAAGCUCUCCUCCCACAGCUGCCUCCCAGGAAAACCAAAUUCCUAUGGAUUUGGGGAAUUCCAGAAUUCUGUGAUUCUGUGGAAACCCUGGCUGGUCUUUAAGUCAAAAGUCUGACCCUGCCUCAGGAUUGCCGCCAUGACAGGACAUGUCAGCUGUAUUAAAUGCUACCGUCCCGGCUCCAGAACUCCAGAAAGUUUCCUCAUGAACUGUGGAGAGAAAACGUGGAAUUGAGUGUAUAGCUCAAAAAGUGGUAAAACUACCCUUGAAGUAGUCAUUAAAUGUGAAUUGAUUAAAUGAUUUCUGCCUGAAUCGUCAGCAAGUAUUAAGCACAAACAGUGUGUGUACGUGAGGGGGAGGCAGGAGCCCCACGCCCAGGCCAGUUCCUGAAAUCACACCUCCUUUGUCACUGGAACAUGACUGGAAAACUGAUAAAAACACUUUGGAUAGAUACAAAGGAUUAAUGGGCAAAGAAGGUCAUGUAACAUCCCACACAGACUGUCUUCAAAUAUGUCCUACACCAACAUUCCUCAUCCACGGCCUCUGUGUCUUCUGUUGAAGCUGUAACUGUGACACCAUAACAAGGUUUGCAAGGUACUUUUUGGACAAGCAGAAAAGUAAAGACUUAAUGAAGUCAGGCAGUAAAAGGAGAGGGAAUGAAGACAGAACUGGAGGAGAAGUGAUAAACCCACGUGAAUAAACCAUCUACACAAAACAUCCCUGCACACACAAGUUAUUCCAGAAUAGCCACUGAAGUGACUCAAAGAGAAGAAUGGCAGAAGGUGAUGUAAUUCCUUGGAUAUAACCUAAAAAUACACAACUGCCAGCACCUGGUCAGAGAUCCCAAUAUUCCCUCCUGCAGUAGGCACAAGCAGAUGUCAAAGGACAAGUAAGACCCGACCAUGGUACUCCUGUGUGUGCUAUUCCACCUGCCAAUUCCUUCCAGCCCAGAGGGAUUUUCUCAGCCAGAUGUAAUUUUGUGCAUUUACUGUCAAAGGAGAGGGAAACACAGUUUUGCAAGAUGUGAUCCAUCUCUGCUGA
Molecule: long non-coding RNA, 2736 nt
Organism: Neopelma chrysocephalum (saffron-crested tyrant-manakin)
Lineage: Eukaryota; Metazoa; Chordata; Aves; Passeriformes; Pipridae
Exons: 7
Source: RefSeq, a predicted model, not a curated record